AGUGAACGCUGGCGGUAGGCCUAACACAUGCAAGUCGAACGGCAGCACAGUAAGAGCUUGCUCUUACGGGUGGCGAGUGGCGGACGGGUGAGGAAUACAUCGGAAUCUACUUUUUCGUGGGGGAUAACGUAGGGAAACUUACGCUAAUACCGCAUACGACCUACGGGUGAAAGCAGGGGAUCUUCGGACCUUGCGCGAUUGAAUGAGCCGAUGUCGGAUUAGCUAGUUGGCGGGGUAAAGGCCCACCAAGGCGACGAUCCGUAGCAGGUCUGAGAGGAUGAUCAGCCACACUGGAACUGAGACACGGUCCAGACUCCUACGGGAGGCAGCAGUGGGGAAUAUUGGACAAUGGGCGCAAGCCUGAUCCAGCCAUACCGCGUGGGUGAAGAAGGCCUUCGGGUUGUAAAGCCCUUUUGUUGGGAAAGAAAAGCAGCAGGUUAAUACCCCGCUGUUCUGACGGUACCCAAAGAAUAAGCACCGGUUAACUUCGUG
This 492-nucleotide ribosomal RNA is filed under the name uncultured bacterium. Its description in RNAcentral is "partial 16S ribosomal RNA". It matches the Rfam family "Bacterial small subunit ribosomal RNA", at positions 29 to 507 of the family's 1533-position model. The record is from RNAcentral.